RNAcentral lists this ribosomal RNA (483 nucleotides) under uncultured bacterium. Its description in RNAcentral is "partial 16S ribosomal RNA". It matches the Rfam family "Bacterial small subunit ribosomal RNA", at positions 30 to 507 of the family's 1533-position model. The record is from RNAcentral.
UUGAACGCUGGCGGCAGGCCUAACACAUGCAAGUCGAGCGGAUGAAGGGAGCUUGCUCCUGGAUUCAGCGGCGGACGGGUGAGUAAUGCCUAGGAAUCUGCCUGGUAGUGGGGGAUAACGUCCGGAAACGGGCGCUAAUACCGCAUACGUCCUGAGGGAGAAAGUGGGGGAUCUUCGGACCUCACGCUAUCAGAUGAGCCUAGGUCGGAUUAGCUAGUUGGUGGGGUAAAGGCCUACCAAGGCGACGAUCCGUAACUGGUCUGAGAGGAUGAUCAGUCACACUGGAACUGAGACACGGUCCAGACUCCUACGGGAGGCAGCAGUGGGGAAUAUUGAACAAUGGGCGAAAGCCUGAUCCAGCCAUGCCGCGUGUGUGAAGAAGGUCUUCGGAUUGUAAAGCACUUUAAGUUGGGAGGAAGGGCAGUAAGUUAAUACCUUGCUGUUUUGACGUUACCAACAGAAUAAGCACCGGCUAACUUCGUG